AUUGAACGCUGGCGGCAUGCCUUACACAUGCAAGUCGAACGGCAGCACGGGAGCAAUCCUGGUGGCGAGUGGCGAACGGGUGAGUAAAGUAUCGGAACGUGCCCAGUCGUGGGGGAUAACGUAGCGAAAGUUACGCUAAUACCGCAUACGAUCUAUGGAUGAAAGCGGGGGAUCGCAAGACCUCGCGCGAUUGGAGCGGCCGAUGUCAGAUUAGGUAGUUGGUGGGGUAAAGGCCCACCAAGCCGACGAUCCGUAGCUGGUCUGAGAGGACGACCAGCGACACUGGGACUGAGACACGGCCCAGACUCCGACGGGAGGCAGCAGUGGGGAAUUUUGGACAAUGGGCGAAAGCCUGAUCCAGCCAUGCCGCGUGCAGGAUGAAGGCCUUCGGGUUGUAAACUGCUUUUGUACGGAACGAAAAGGUUUGGCCUAAUAAGCUGAGCUCAUGACGGUACCGUAAGAAUAAGCACCGGCUAACUACGUGCCAGCAGCCGCGGUAA
Molecule: ribosomal RNA, 500 nt
Filed under: uncultured bacterium
Lineage: Bacteria
Description: partial 16S ribosomal RNA
Rfam family: Bacterial small subunit ribosomal RNA
Source: RNAcentral